Molecule: ribosomal RNA, 482 nt
Filed under: uncultured bacterium
Lineage: Bacteria
Description: partial 16S ribosomal RNA
Rfam family: Bacterial small subunit ribosomal RNA
Source: RNAcentral
GACGAACGCUGGCGGCGUGCUUAACACAUGCAAGUCGAACGACGAAGAGGCGCAUCGCGGACUUCGGUUUACGUUACACUUCAGCGACCUGGCAGACGGGUGAGUAACGCGUGACCAAACUACCGCGUACAACGGAAUAGCUCCGGGGCACCGUGAUUCAGACCAAAUGACCCAUUCAUAACGCAUCUUGAGAAUGUUAAAGCUACGGCGGUACGAGAUGGUCUCGCGUCCCAUUAGCUAGUUGGGGAGGUAACGGCCCACCAAGGGGACGAUGGGUAGCCGGCCAGAGAGGGUGAGCGGUCACAUCGGAACUGAGACGCGGUCCAGACUCCGACGGGAGGGAGCAAUGGGGGAUAUUGCACAAUGGAGGGAACGCGGAGGCAGCGACGCCGCGUGGGCUAUGAAGGAAUGCGGUUCGGAAAGAACUGUGCGAAGGGAAGAAAAUGACGGUACCAGAUGAGAAAGCCCCGGCUAAAUACGUG